This 395-nucleotide ribosomal RNA is filed under the name uncultured bacterium. RNAcentral's name for it is "partial 16S ribosomal RNA". It matches the Rfam family "Bacterial small subunit ribosomal RNA", at positions 338 to 730 of the family's 1533-position model. The record is from RNAcentral.
CCUACGGGUGGCAGCAGUGAGGAAUAUUGGUCAAUGGACGCAAGUCUGAACCAGCCAUGCCGCGUGCAGGAAGACGGCUCUAUGAGUUGUAAACUGCUUUUGUACGAGGGUAAAUCCCGAUACGUGUAUCGGGUUGAAAGUAUCGUACGAAUAAGGAUCGGUUAACUCCGUGCCAGCAGCCGCGGUAAUACGGAGGAUUCAAGCGUUAUCCGGAUUUAUUGGGUUUAAAGGGUGCGUAGGCGGUUCGAUAAGUUAGGGGUGAAAGCCCGGGGCUCACCUCCGACACUGCCUCUGAUACUGGCGGGCUAGAGUUUAGGUGCGGUAGGCGGAAUGUAUGGUGUAGCGGUGAAAUGCAUAGAGAUCAUGCAGAACACCGAUUGCGAAGGCAGCUUACC